RNAcentral lists this ribosomal RNA (800 nucleotides) under uncultured bacterium. RNAcentral's name for it is "bacterial SSU rRNA". It matches the Rfam family "Bacterial small subunit ribosomal RNA", at positions 8 to 804 of the family's 1533-position model. The record is from RNAcentral.
AGAGUUUGAUCCUGGCUCAGAUUGAACGCUGGCGGAAUGCUUUACACAUGCAAGUCGAACGGCAGCACGGACUUCGGUCUGGUGGCGAGUGGCGAACGGGUGAGUAAUAUAUCGGAACGUGCCCAGUCGUGGGGGAUAACGUAGUGAAAAUUACGCUAAUACCGCAUACGAUCUAAGGAUGAAAGCGGGGGAUCGCAAGACCUCGCGCGAUUGGAGCGGCCGAUAUCAGAUUAGGUAGUUGGUGAGGUAAAGGCUCACCAAGCCAACGAUCUGUAGCUGGUCUGAGAGGACGACCAGCCACACUGGAACUGAGACACGGUCCAGACUCCUACGGGAGGCAGCAGUGGGGAAUUUUGGACAAUGGACGCAAGUCUGAUCCAGCCAUUCCGCGUGCAGGACGAAGGCCUUCGGGUUGUAAACUGCUUUUGUACAGAACGAAAAGGUCUCUAUUAAUACUAGGGGCUCAUGACGGUACUGUAAGAAUAAGCACCGGCUAACUACGUGCCAGCAGCCGCGGUAACACGUAGGGUGCAAGCGUUAAUCGGAAUUACUGGGCGUAAAGCGUGCGCAGGCGGUUAUAUAAGACAGAUGUGAAAUCCCCGGGCUCAACCUGGGAACUGCAUUUGUGACUGUAUAGCUGGAGUGCGGCAGAGGGGGAUGGAAUUCCGCGUGUAGCAGUGAAAUGCGUAGAUAUGCGGAGGAACACCGAUGGCGAAGGCAAUCCCCUGGCCUGCACUGACGCUCAUGCACGAAAGCGUGGGGAGCAAACAGGAUUAGAUACCCUGGUAGUCCACGCCCUA